Molecule: transfer RNA, 71 nt
Organism: Metschnikowia bicuspidata var. bicuspidata NRRL YB-4993
Lineage: Eukaryota; Fungi; Ascomycota; Pichiomycetes; Serinales; Metschnikowiaceae
Rfam family: tRNA
About the family: Transfer RNA (tRNA) molecules are approximately 80 nucleotides in length. Their secondary structure includes four short double-helical elements and three loops (D, anti-codon, and T loops).
Source: Rfam
ACUUAGGUAGUUCAAUGGUUAGAGCAAACGCCUCAUAUGCAUUAAAUAUAGGUCCAAUCCUAUGUUAGGUA